UACGUAGGGGGCAAGCGUUGUCCGGAAUCAUUGGGCGUAAAGGGCGCGUAGGCGGCCAUCUAAGUCAGAUGUGAAAUCCCUCGGCUCAACCGAGGAACUGCGUCUGAUACUGGAAGGCUUGAAUCCGGGAGAGGGAUGUGGAAUUCCAGGUGUAGCGGUGAAAUGCGUAGAUAUCUGGAGGAACACCGGUGGCGAAGGCGGCAUCCUGGACCGGUAUUGACGCUGAGGCGCGAAAGCUAGGGGAGCAAACGGG
RNAcentral lists this ribosomal RNA (253 nucleotides) under uncultured bacterium. Its description in RNAcentral is "partial 16S ribosomal RNA". It matches the Rfam family "Bacterial small subunit ribosomal RNA", at positions 524 to 776 of the family's 1533-position model. The record is from RNAcentral.